AUUGAACGCUGGCGGCAUGCCUUACACAUGCAAGUCGAACGGCAGCACGGGAGCUUGCUCCUGGUGGCGAGUGGCGAACGGGUGAGUAAUGCAUCGGAACGUACCCGGAAGUGGGGGAUAACGUAGCGAAAGUUACGCUAAUACCGCAUAUUCUGUGAGCAGGAAAGAGGGGGAUCGUAAGACCUCUCGCUUUCGGAGCGGCCGAUGUCGGAUUAGCUAGUUGGUGGGGUAAAGGCCUACUAAGGCGACGAUCCGUAGCGGGUCUGAGAGGAUGAUCCGCCACACUGGAACUGAGACACGGUCCAGACUCCUACGGGAGGCAGCAGUGGGGAAUUUUGGACAAUGGGCGAAAGCCUGAUCCAGCCAUGCCGCGUGAGUGAAGAAGGCCUUCGGGUUGUAAAGCUCUUUCGGCUGAAAAGAAAUCGCACAGGCUAAUACCUUGUGUGGAUGACGGUAUCAGCAUAAGAAGCACCGGCUAACUACGUGCCAGCAGCCGCAGUAA
Molecule: ribosomal RNA, 502 nt
Filed under: uncultured bacterium
Lineage: Bacteria
Description: partial 16S ribosomal RNA
Rfam family: Bacterial small subunit ribosomal RNA
Source: RNAcentral